Molecule: ribosomal RNA, 250 nt
Filed under: uncultured bacterium
Lineage: Bacteria
Description: partial 16S ribosomal RNA
Rfam family: Bacterial small subunit ribosomal RNA
Source: RNAcentral
UACGGAGGGAGCUAGCGUUGUUCGGAAUUACUGGGCGUAAAGCGCGCGUAGGCGGCUAUUUAAGUCAGAGGUGAAAGCCUGGAGCUCAACUCCAGAACUGCCUUUGAGACUGGGUAGCUAGAAUCCAGGAGAGGUGAGUGGAAUUCCGAGUGUAGAGGUGAAAUUCGUAGAUAUUCGGAAGAACACCAGUGGCGAAGGCGGCUCACUGGACUGGUAUUGACGCUGAGGUGCGAAAGCGUGGGGAGCAAAC